RNAcentral lists this long non-coding RNA (509 nucleotides) under Equus caballus (horse). RNAcentral's name for it is "lncRNA (ENSECAG00000049433.1)". The record is from RNAcentral. Lineage: Eukaryota; Metazoa; Chordata; Mammalia; Perissodactyla; Equidae.
GCCUGCCCUCCAUGACUCUCAACCUUGAAUAGGAAUGGGGGAGUCAGAAGAAAUCCAAAGCAGUUCUAGGAAAUUGAGUGCCACAUUCUUUUCUGCACGCCUGAGAGUAUGUCUUAUGCACCUUUGCAUGCCCCAUUCCUGACACUACGACUCCCAUGAGUUGUCCAAAGAAAAUAAUUCAAAGGACUCAAAUAGAGGUUAAAGGCUUCAUUCAGCUGAUGAGGUCAGGGAGCACCUGAAGGCCAGCCAGGUAUAAAAUGAUGUGAUCAGACUACCAGAGCUCAAGAAGUCCCCAGUGAUCAAGGCUGAGCAGGAGGAAUGAGCAGAAGCUCACAGAAUUGGCGUGUAUCUCUAGCUUGAUGAAGCAGUCAUUUAAUACAGGGCAUUUCAUGUGAUCUCAGAAAGGAGAGCAGAGUCCCGGUCCCCUAAGAGCAAGCUCUCCCCCUCCUCCACUACUGUGCCCUCCGGCUUCAGAGAGGGAAAGCUUCAUACCUUAAGAUUGCUCCCAG